Molecule: transfer RNA, 69 nt
Filed under: Ovis aries (sheep)
Lineage: Eukaryota; Metazoa; Chordata; Mammalia; Artiodactyla; Bovidae
Rfam family: tRNA
About the family: Transfer RNA (tRNA) molecules are approximately 80 nucleotides in length. Their secondary structure includes four short double-helical elements and three loops (D, anti-codon, and T loops). Further hydrogen bonds mediate the characteristic L-shaped molecular structure. tRNAs have two regions of fundamental functional importance: the anti-codon, which is responsible for specific mRNA codon recognition, and the 3' end, to which the tRNAs corresponding amino acid is attached (by aminoacyl-tRNA synthetases). tRNAs cope with the degeneracy of the genetic code in two manners: having more than one tRNA (with a specific anti-codon) for a particular amino acid; and 'wobble' base-pairing, i.e. permitting non-standard base-pairing at the 3rd anti-codon position.
Source: Rfam by way of RNAcentral
CCUGGUGGCUCAGACGAUAAAGCGUCUGCCUGAAAUGCGGGAGACCAGGGUUCAAUCCCUGGGUCAGGA